RNAcentral lists this ribosomal RNA (442 nucleotides) under uncultured bacterium. Its description in RNAcentral is "partial 16S ribosomal RNA". It matches the Rfam family "Bacterial small subunit ribosomal RNA", at positions 338 to 795 of the family's 1533-position model. The record is from RNAcentral.
CCUACGGGAGGCAGCAGUGGGGAAUAUUGGGCAAUGGGCGCAAGCCUGACCCAGCAACGCCGCGUGAAGGAAGAAGGCUUUCGGGUUGUAAACUUCUUUGAAGAGGGAAGAGCAGAAGACGGUACCUCUUGAAUAAGCCACGGCUAACUACGUGCCAGCAGCCGCGGUAAUAGGUAGGUGGCAAGCGUUGUACGGUUUUACUGGGGGUAAAGGGCGGGCAGCCGGGAAGACAAGUCAGAUGUGAAAUCCCGCGGCUCAACCGCGGAACUGCAUUUGAAACUGUUUUUCUUGAGUACCGGAGAGGUCAUCGGAAUUCCUUGUGUAGCGGUGAAAUGCGUAGAUAUAAGGAAGAACACCAGUGGCGAAGGCGGAUGACUGGACGGCAACUGACGGUGAGGCGCGAAAGCGUGGGGAGCAAACAGGAUUAGAUACCCCAGUAGUC